ACCCAAUGUGAACGUUACCAAACUGUUGCCUCGGCGGGGUCACGCCCCGGGUGCGUCGCAGCCCCGGAACCAGGCGCCCGCCGGAGGAACCAACCAAACUCUUUCUGUAGUCCCCUCGCGGACGUAUUUCUUACAGCUCUGAGCAAAAAUUCAAAAUGAAUCAAAACUUUCAACAACGGAUCUCUUGGUUCUGGCAUCGAUGAAGAACGCAGCGAAAUGCGAUAAGUAAUGUGAAUUGCAGAAUUCAGUGAAUCAUCGAAUCUUUGAACGCACAUUGCGCCCGCCAGUAUUCUGGCGGGCAUGCCUGUCCGAGCGUCAUUUCAACCCUCGAACCCCUCCGGGGGAUCGGCGUUGGGGAUCGGGACCCCUCACACGGGUGCCGGCCCCGAAAUACAGUGGCGGUCUCGCCGCAGCCUCUCCUGCGCAGUAGUUUGCACAACUCGCACCGGGAGCGCGGCGCGUCCACGUCCGUAAAACACCCAACUUUCUGAAAUGUUGACCUCGGAUCAGGUAGGAAUACCCGCUGAACUUAAGCAUAUCAAUAA
This 545-nucleotide ribosomal RNA is filed under the name Trichoderma asperelloides. Its description in RNAcentral is "eukaryotic LSU rRNA". The stretch from base 165 to 318 matches the Rfam family "5.8S ribosomal RNA". Lineage: Eukaryota; Fungi; Ascomycota; Sordariomycetes; Hypocreales; Hypocreaceae. The record is from RNAcentral.